UACGGGGGGGGCAAGCGUUGUUCGGAAUUACUGGGCGUAAAGGGCUCGUAGGCCGCCAACUAAGUCAGACGUGAAAUCCCUCGGCUUAACCGGGGAACUGCGUCUGAUACUGGAUGGCUAGAGUUUGGGAGAGGGAUGCGGAAUUCCAGGUGUAGCGGUGAAAUGCGUAGAUAUCUGGAGGAACACCGGUGGCGAAGGCGGCAUCCUGGACCAACACUGACGCUGAGGAGCGAAAGCCAGGGGAGCAAACGGG
This 253-nucleotide ribosomal RNA is filed under the name uncultured bacterium. RNAcentral's name for it is "partial 16S ribosomal RNA". It matches the Rfam family "Bacterial small subunit ribosomal RNA", at positions 524 to 776 of the family's 1533-position model. The record is from RNAcentral.